This 355-nucleotide transfer-messenger RNA is filed under the name Rhodobacter viridis. RNAcentral describes it as "Alphaproteobacteria transfer-messenger RNA". It matches the Rfam family "Alphaproteobacteria transfer-messenger RNA". Rfam says of the family: Bacterial tmRNA, also known as 10Sa RNA or SsrA, is named for its dual tRNA and mRNA-like properties. Its role is to liberate the mRNA from a stalled ribosome. Lineage: Bacteria; Pseudomonadati; Pseudomonadota; Alphaproteobacteria; Rhodobacterales. The record is from RNAcentral.
CCCCUUGCGCAGCCCGGCGUUGACGCCUAUCUUUGUCCUUGUCGGGGGCAACCCCGACUAUGGGCAUAAACGCGCACGGAAUAAGCGGAUCGGACCCGGGGGCGGUACCCGGCGGCUCCACCAAAACUCCCUCGUUGGGGGCGAAUGGGGCCGAAACAGGAUCGACGAACGUCUAAAGGUGAUUGCUUUGUCCCGGUGAGCUACCACCGUUAUCGGUGCAAAUGUACAGUUGCCAACGACAACCGUGCUCCGAUGGCUCUGGCUGCGUAAGCAGUUCGAGGUAUCGAAACCUAAGUCCUUACGCUUAGCCGCUUAAGGCGGGGCUCGCAGGUGCCUGGCAACAGAAACCUGCACU